Arvicanthis niloticus (Nile rat) is the source of this 3058-nucleotide non-coding RNA. The record is from RefSeq and is a predicted model, not a curated record. NCBI's taxonomy places the organism in Eukaryota, Metazoa, Chordata, Mammalia, Rodentia, Muridae.
UGCCGUGAGGCGGACAGAUUCCACGGGGGUGGGACGGCUUUCGGCCUAGAUUUAAGUGCUACUGCGGACUGGGCAAGGCUGGCCGGGGUAGAACAGCUACACCUAAGUACAGCGGGGCUCCAACACUGCGGGGCGCCUGGGCACGGACAACCGGCCUGGGAGCUUCAACACCUCCAGCAUCACCCAUGAUGAGGGUCCUCUCCUGCUCCAUCAUCCUUAGCCUGUGACUCCAAGAUGGCUACCAGUGCCCCAGCUCCCAAGCCCUUGGCAUUCCUGAAAGGGAAGAAACACAAAAAAGGAAAGAGUAUAUUGGCCAGAACUACAGCCAGAGUACAUCGGCUGCAUGACUCACCUGGGAUAGAUGCUAAUGACCUCAAAGUUGGACUUUUGUUAGGAAGGAAAAAGAAGAAGAGAGCAAAAGAAAUCAUAGAAUCCCCUGGAACCAGAGUUACAGGCAUGCACCACCACACCCAGUUUAUAUGGUGAUGGAAAUGAACCUUGGGGUUUAUUCAGGGAAUGGCACUAUUAGGAUGUGUGGCCUUGUUGGUUGAAGUGUGUCACUGUGGACAUGGGCUUAAGGCCCUCAUCCUAGCUCCCUGGAAGUCAGUCACUAGCAGCCUGCAGAUGAAGAUGCAGAACUCUCAGCUCCUCCUGCACCAUGCCUGCCUGGAUGCUGCCAUGCUCCCACCUUGAUGAUAAUGGACUGCACCUCUGACCCUAACCAAGAACCAGGAGCACCAAGAAGCCUGUGGCAUUACCAUUUCCUUCUGGACAGGAAGUUCCAUCUGUAUCCCUAGAGCCCAGCAGCACAGCCUCUUGCCUAGUGUAUUUCAUGGUGCUGGGGCCUCUAUCUCAGGGGAGAUCUCAAGGCAGCAGCUGCCAUGCUCCUGACUCCCUUGUCCCUCCCACUUGCUUCCACAGGGCCAAGCCCUGGAGUCUCUGACCAGCACCCACAAGCCGCUACUCUUGGGGUGUUGCAACUGUGAGUGAGUUCACAGGUUGCAGAGGCACCAAGAGCAGCACCAGGCACAGCUGUGAGCUUUGGAACAGCUGGCAUAGCAGCUGCUGGGAGAGCCUGCUGGACUGUGCACACAAGCAUCCAUUGUGCUGCCUGAGAGCCUCCAGGACACUGGCUCCACCUGCAGGGUCUCUGCUUUAAACCAGGGUCCAGUGUUUAAACACCCUUCUGUACCUGUGGGGGUUAUAGGAGUGACCUUGCAGCAGAGGGCUUGCCUAUAAGGGCCAGCCCCUGGAUUCCAUCCAGCACCCUCCAAACAAAACAGCCCUUGAGAGUUGGUGUAGGCCUGUAAUCCUAGCAAGUGGAAGGCAGAGGCAGGAGGAUGACAACAAGUUCAAAGCCAGCUUAGGCUAUGUGCAACCGUGUCACCAGCAGGCAGGCACUAAAAGCUGCUAACACCAGGCAAACACCAAUCAGAGCUGAGUAAUGGCUGCUCAGCAGAGGCAGAGUUAGGAAACUUAUGGAGCACAUUCUCCGUGCUAGACCUUAACUUACCGAAAACUACAGCGACCAGGAUGUGCUCUUGUGCCAGUUUCCAGAUCUAAAAGCAAAGAGUCUUAACUUGUCCAAAAGCAAGUAGGCAUAAAAACUGCAAAGCCAGGAGCCAAACUGGGACUCUGGGCAGUGGACGAAACUGUCCCCAUUGGAAAGCGCCCUACCUGACUGCCAUAGAGCUUGUGUUUUUAGCCCCUCCAGCCUGUCUAAAACUCCUGGGUAGCUUCAAUAUUGUACUGCCCAGUUUGGUCUUUGGGGGGGGUGUGUGUGUGUAAAAUAAAUCUCCCCUCUCCUUACAACACAGUGAUAAGUGCUUGUCUGGCUCAAGGUCAGAUAAGAUAACGGGUCCUAGGCUCAAGCUUUAGUCCUGCCGGGAGAAGAGAAGACCUCAUGGUGGAAUGUGAAGUCCCCAGACUCACAGAAAGGGGAUCGGAAAGGAGCUCCCAUGUACCUCUAGUAGAGGAGUCUCCGGCAGGCGGCGGGGGUCGGGGGUGUUGGACAUACCCCACAGGCAAGACUGUGGUCAUAAUAGUGCUUUCGAAUGGUUUGUUUGUGGUGACUUGGGAGGAGACAAAGAGCACUGGAUUCAUUUUCCCAGGCGACAGCGGUCAGAUGGAGCUGCGGAGUGGCUAUCCCUAGUGCUUUGAGACCAUGGCCUGGGCCCCAGGAGUACAGUGGGGCUGAGACAGAGCUCAGACUGAAGCCUGGGGCUCUCUAUGGAGCUUGCUAGUGUCCCUGGACUGACAUUGUUUCUCUCUCCUUCCCUGUCCCCAUUCAGUGUCUGCCUCCUCCUAAUCCAUCUCAUCUCGGCAUCUCCACAGCCACCAACUUUCUGCCCCCACCUUGCUGUGCCCCACCCUUCUUCCUAGCUCCCCCCCCCCCAGUCACUCCUCACCUGUAUCUUUACAUGGCUUUGUCUGUACAUGUUGGUCCUCCCUGCAUUUAUCUCCCUGCCCCAUGACUGUCUCUGGCCUCACCUCUGCUCCCUUGUCUCCGCACAUCUCUCCUUCCCUGACCUUGCUGUUCCUCACAGUAGGCCUUCCAUCACCUGUGGAAGGCCUGCCACCUGCCACUUUGGAAGCUAAACCCAAGUCCCUGGACACUCAGAUAUCCAGUGUGCAAGUGACUGAGUGACAAUAUUGACAGAGAUAGAAGAUGGAAGAGUGAUUACACUUGGCAUUGGCCUGGCCUGGCCUUGCGGCCCACACCUGGGGAGGAGCGAUGUCUCCAGCAUCUGUCACACUUGAACCUUUUGUAGCCUUGGACUAAUUUGCCCCUCAUCCCUCAUCCUCUGGGACGCUCAUCCUCUGGGGUGGCCAGCCCCUGCCAUGCCCAAGCCAAACCCUUUGUAUUCUGUAAAGAAAGCUCUGAACAGAACAAGAGUCAUCUGCUCGAGGGGUGCUGUGCCUGGUUCUGAAGAGCUCUGGUGUGCCAUGCCAUGCCUGCUGUGGGGUGACACAGCCCCAAACCAUCCCUGCCUUUGAGUUCAUGUCCGCUUGAGUAGAAGGUGAACUAGUAAACUAAUAAACCAGAUCACUCCAAACC